This 485-nucleotide ribosomal RNA is filed under the name uncultured bacterium. RNAcentral describes it as "SSU rRNA". It matches the Rfam family "Bacterial small subunit ribosomal RNA", at positions 26 to 518 of the family's 1533-position model. The record is from RNAcentral.
AGGACGAACGCUGGCGGCGUGCUUAACACAUGCAAGUCAAGGGGGCCCAGCAAUGGGCAACCGGCGAACGGGUGCGUAACACGUGAGCAACCUACCGAACUGUGGGGGAUAGCCGGCCUAACGGCCGAGUAAUACCGCAUACGCUUUCAGUGAGGCAUUUCAUUGAAAGGAAACCUACGGGACAGAUCGAGGGGCUCGCGGCCUAUCAGCUAGUUGGCGAGGUAACGGCUCACCAAGGCUUUGACGGGUAGCUGGUCUGAGAGGACGACCAGCCACACUGGGACUGAGACACGGCCCAGACACCUACGGGUGGCAGCAGUCGAGAAUUUUUGACAAUGGGGAAACCCUGAUCGAGCGACGCCGCGGGAGGAUGAAGGUCUUCGGAUUGUAAACUCCUGUCAUUUGGAACAAGUCGCUUACGUUAACUGCGUGAGCGUUGAUAGUACCAGAAGAGGAAGGACGGCUAACUCUGUGCCAGCAGCCGC